Molecule: long non-coding RNA, 791 nt
Filed under: Triticum aestivum (bread wheat)
Lineage: Eukaryota; Viridiplantae; Streptophyta; Magnoliopsida; Poales; Poaceae
Description: long non-coding RNA (TAES_LNC020120)
Source: RNAcentral
CAAUAUGACAAUACAUGGUUAGGAACGAUGCAAUUUCAUGUUUAACAAAGCGAAGAGACACCAUGGGACAAACUAAACACAACAGAUCCAUACCUCUGAAAAAUCAAGGAAGUGAUCAUCUCAUAUAAUUAACAUACCUUAUCAAAAAUAAAAGCCCAUAUUACAUAGUUACAUAGCUCUUUAGUUUCACAUGGUCUGUACUCUGUACUGAUUGUACAUAAAGUGUUCCUCUGAUCACAGAUGACCUUGGGUAUGGAAAUUUUAUGUUGGACUAAUGAUGCAUGCCUUGGAUAGGUACCCUUUAUGAUAGGUAGCUAAAACAGAGAAUUUUGGAAACAAUUUCAUAGUCACCAGCAGUCGUGCAGAUCUUGGAUGGGUGCAUCUAGCUGCCUGAUAAAAAAAACAAUGGAUGACGAACAGCUUGAUGAGAGUUCAAUGGAGUAUCGGGAGUGUGGCAACCAAUUUACUUCGUGAGUACUACAAAACGAAUGAACAUAUACACCACUUACCGGAGUCACUUGAAUGGAAAUAAAAAACUCUAGAGGGGGAGAGGGGCGCGACCGCGCUCAGGAUAUAGAUUGCGCAAGGCUGCCGAGCACACGACAACUCCAUCCUCUGCAGCAGUAGGUCGAUGGCAUGGGGCGACAGUAGAUCGUCAGCAACAACUGACCUGGCGGCAAAGGCGCGUGGGGCGGCAGGAGGAGACGCGGUGCGUCGCGUGGCCACCGGCAGCGCGAGCAGAGAACAGCAUACGAGAUCAAGAUGGAUGGAUCCCAAGAGGCGAAAUGGGG